CCACAGUUUCAAACGAUGGUGUCAGUGUAUGUUCCAGUAAUCCCAGUGAAACGACUGCUCAGGCUGCGGCACUUUUUUCUAGUCUUGGCUCUGUAUGACGCAGCAGCCCGUCCACCAUGUGCCAAACCUGCUUGUUAUGGGCUGAUCCAGUGAAAGCUAGCUUACAGAAGCAGCUAAUGUUUAUAUAAUAAAGAUUACAGCGGGUUUUGUUGGAUUUGUAGUGCACAUAUGUAACAUUUUUGCACUCAUGUUAUAAGGCCCUCACUAUGUGCCUGUGAUUCUGUUCAUGUGGACGUAGCGUUUUCAGUGGGAAAAACGUCACUGACAGAUGAACCCUUAGGCCCCUCCUCCAUUCAGAGAUGGUCUUUCCCUUUUCACGUAAAUGGCCUCCUUGACUCCGCCCUCAAACCAGCGUUCCUCCCUGUCCAGGAUGUUACAUCCUCAUCAUUGAAAGAGUGUCCACUGGCCUGUAGGUGUGAAUAGACUGCAGAGUCCUGGCCUCAUGAAGUGGCUCUUCCGUGUUGUGUCAUCCGCUUCGCCAGAGGUUGAUUGGUUUCCCCGAUGUAUAAAACCUGCCUGUGACACUAACUUUAACUGUGUUAUUUAUUGUAGGCUGUAUUCUCCCAGUGAUGAACAGAAUCAACGUUCUCGGACUAUUUUUCUUCUGUAUCCUGCAGCUCACCUGGUCGUCCACCCGCCGGCGGCUUCAAGUCAAGCUCGCUCACAGAGACUGCAGCCUUUCUUGCCAUAAAACUGGAUCAGAACCUAAGACUUGAGUCGAAUACAUCAAAAAUUGUUUUGGCUAAAAAAACCAACCCAAACAUUAAAUUUUCAUGCAAAUUGGAAAUGGUCCAUCAGAACAUUUUCUUUGAUUCGCGGUGGAAUGAAACAUCUUUGUCCUUCAUGUACACAAUGUGUAAAACGUAUGUUGGACUAAUCUACCCUCGGAUCUCUCGCUCUCCCCGUCUCCUGCCUUUCAACCUUUUGUGUUCAUUUUCAUUUGGAAAAUCCGAUAAAACCAACAGUCAUCGUUUCCCUUCUUCUAAAACACAUAACUCAGAUUUUGUGAAUUUAAGGCAUUCAUAAACUUGCCUCAUCGGACUCUGAUAAACCUUUUCUUUCGACAGAAAUGCUAAUAAUCAAUCGCUCCACCACUCUCUCCCUCUCAGGGUCUCUCUGCUCCAAACAGUGAUAAAGUCUCCUGCUACUUUCCUUUGAAAUGUUCAGAAAACCAAAUGUUCCUCUUGAAUUCUUCACAGGCUCGCUGACAGACUCCAUGUUUUAAUAAUUCACUUUGUUUCUUUAUCUUCCUCCAGCCUCCAUUUGUUCCUUAUUGUCUUCAUUUUCUGUAUUUGGUGGAGACAGAAAAGACGAAAUGAGAUUUCUUUUCUUUAAAUCUGUCAUUUCCGCCUGUGACACCUCCCUCAACAAACCGCUGAUAAUACAAAAUUAAACCAAAUUAUGAUGCUCAUUCAAAGCUGCAUGUCUUUAUCCUGUCUUCCUUCUCUCACCCCAACCAAUCACAGCAGAUGGCCCCGCCCCUCCCUGAGCCUGGUUCUGCCGGAGGUUUCUUCCUGUCUUCCUAUUUUUAUUACAAAUUAUAUCAGUAAGGAAGCUGACUAAAUAUUCACUGAUAAUUUAUGGC
This is a long non-coding RNA of Astatotilapia calliptera (eastern happy), 1645 nucleotides long. The record is from Ensembl. Lineage: Eukaryota; Metazoa; Chordata; Actinopteri; Cichliformes; Cichlidae.